ACCCGAACGUAUGAUGGUGGGCACCAGACUCAGCCCUGAUAGGGUUAUUUUUAUCCUUUCAAUUGAGAGGAUGUAAUACUCUGGGAACAGGGGAAGGAAAUGCCCCACUGUUCCGUCUUAGCUCCAGAUCUGAUUUUUUGCACGCGGUCUCUGAGCGGUGAGGUUCUGGUGCAGGCUGCCCGGAGAGCUCUGAGUGCCCCAUCCCUGGAGGUGCUCCAUGCUGGGUUGGAUGGGCCCUGGGCAGCCUGAGCUGCUGGGGACAACAAGCCCACAGCAAGGAGUGGGCUUUAAGCGUGGGCUCCCUUCCAACCCAAACCAUUCUUUGAUUCUUUGAUUCUAUGAUUCUAUGACCAGUGGACUUUGAGCUGGACCCUCAAAAGCAGCUCCACAUCCUCUAAUGAAAUGGUCCCAUAAACUGCAGAAGUGCUGAGCUACCCAGGCUGAGCAGCCCUGGAAUACGUGCAGGCAGCAUCUUCCAAUGGCAGUUACUCUUGCACCUUGGAGUUUGGCAAGCACUUCUUUUUUUUUUUUAGGAGAAAAAAAUAAUUAACCUUCAAUUCAGGUCCCAGCUCGCAUAACCACAGAUAGAUUCGACUAAUAAUUUGCUUGCUUAAGUGACUCAUAAUAAACACUGUGCGUUUACUUUUGCUUUGAGAGCAGCUGAUCUUUGGAACAAACUGCCACAGGCGUAAAAUCAUGUCACCCAUUUGCUGGUUUAACCCUCUGAGUGCACAUGCGUCUCCUGGCUCUGCUAAAUUGCUUCUUGUGGGAAAGCAAGGAGUCUGCAGGCAGUGGAGAAAGAAGGUUUUGAAGGACCUACCACCCUGCAGGCUUCUUAGCUGGCUGUGAAGUGGGAACCAGCUGCAGUCUUCUACCAAAUCCAUUGUUCCCCAACUCAAAUUAGCAGAGAGAAAUCCCAGCCACAUCCCUAAGGUCACUGACAGGAGGAGCAGAGUGCAAAAUUGCAGGACAAUGCAAGACUUGCAACUUCACGAGGCUUGACAGCUAAGGUGGCUUUUGCCCACUUUCAUGUCACUGGGGUACAACUUCCUGGGUUUCUGCUGCAUGGGGAACAUAGUGGGUGUUUCUCAACUCUGACUUAAUCCACUGCAAGCCAUUCCAAGGGCCUGUCCCAGGGAAUCCUUUCUAUUCUGAAUUUGCUGUCUAAGCACCCUCCUUAUGUCAUUCACAGGGUACUUCUAAUUCUUCUGCCUCCUCACUCCACCGUCGAAUCCUUCGUCAUUUUUGCAACUUCAUGCGUCUCAAUUCUAUUCCAGGCAUGUCGAAGACCUCCUCAAAGGGCA
Molecule: long non-coding RNA, 1304 nt
Filed under: Numida meleagris (helmeted guineafowl)
Lineage: Eukaryota; Metazoa; Chordata; Aves; Galliformes; Numididae
Description: lncRNA (ENSNMEG00000020053.1)
Source: RNAcentral